GAAUGGUUUUUCAAAAUUUUAUCUUCUCUUCUUUCCUCAUGCUUGCACCACCCCCAAUUCCACCCUAGGUUACUACUACUGACCCCCUGCAUUGUUCCAGUCCCCUCCAGAAGGCAGUUUCACCCACUUUAGGAACCUAUGGUAUACACCUAUAGCCACUCACCUUUGCAAAUGAAAGGAGGUGUGAACUCUGGCUAUGGUAGCAGGACCCAUGAAGUUACUGGGCAGAGUCCAUCAGUGAUGGGAAACCUGGGAUAUAGUCAGCACUGAUCCUUUUCAUCCUGCC
This 286-nucleotide long non-coding RNA is filed under the name Phascolarctos cinereus (koala). RNAcentral's name for it is "lncRNA (ENSPCIG00000016318.2)". The record is from RNAcentral. Lineage: Eukaryota; Metazoa; Chordata; Mammalia; Diprotodontia; Phascolarctidae.